RNAcentral lists this ribosomal RNA (270 nucleotides) under uncultured Lachnospiraceae bacterium. Its description in RNAcentral is "partial 16S ribosomal RNA". It matches the Rfam family "Bacterial small subunit ribosomal RNA", at positions 70 to 339 of the family's 1533-position model. The record is from RNAcentral. Lineage: Bacteria; Bacillati; Bacillota; Clostridia; Lachnospirales; Lachnospiraceae.
CUUAGAGAGCUUGCUUUUUAAGCUUAGUGGCGAACGGGUGAGUAACGCGUGAGUAACCUGCCCUGGAGUGGGGGACAACAGUUGGAAACGGCUGCUAAUACCGCAUAAGCGCACAGUACCGCAUGGUACAGUGUGAAAAACUCCGGUGGUGUGAGAUGGACCCGCGUCUGAUUAGCUAGUUGGCAGGGCAACGGCCUACCAAGGCGACGAUCAGUAGCCGACCUGAGAGGUUGAACGGCCACAUUGGGACUGAGACACGGCCCAGACUCC